CCGAUCGGGGAGGAUGAACUCAUCUCCUUCAUCGUCGCCGGGCUUGAUAUGGAGUAUCAGCCCAUCAUCUCUGCACUUUACGUCCGCACCGAGCCCAUCACCGUCGGCGCGCUCUUCUCUAUGGUGGCAAACUUCGAUC
This 139-nucleotide small nucleolar RNA is filed under the name Hordeum vulgare subsp. vulgare (domesticated barley). RNAcentral describes it as "Small nucleolar RNA Z247". It matches the Rfam family "Small nucleolar RNA Z247". From Rfam's summary of the family: Z247 is a member of the C/D class of snoRNA which contain the C (UGAUGA) and D (CUGA) box motifs. Most of the members of the box C/D family function in directing site-specific 2'-O-methylation of substrate RNAs. The record is from Rfam by way of RNAcentral. Lineage: Eukaryota; Viridiplantae; Streptophyta; Magnoliopsida; Poales; Poaceae.